GAGAGACCUUAAACCACAGCCGGAUUCAUCUCAUUUUUUACAUUAUUUCUGUUUUAUUUGCCUAAUGGGAUGUCAAAUAGGGUGGAAGAAAAGAUGGUAGAAAGUCAGUCGGGUAUUGGAUAGAAAUCAUCACAACUGCCCGGUGUUCUUAAAAAAAGGUGUAUUCUCCCCUUAAAGCCCUGACUUGGCAGAGAUCCCAGAGGAAGAGACAAGAAAUCGCUUCAACCGUUUUUGGAUUUCCAAAUUGUGGAGCGAUCUUGAAUUUUAAAUAAUCAGCUGCUGAAGGACUAAUUGUUCCACAGUCUGAGGUAGACCAUUUUAAAUGGAGGGAAAGGAUGAAAAAUCCAAUGGGAAUCCUCGCCCAUAUUAACGUGACACGAAAGAUGAUGCAGAAAGAAUAGACCGACUUGAGCUCAGUCCGCAUUUGGGAAGAUGGAAUUUCUAUAUGCCCUAUCUGUCUUAGGUUGUUCUUUCCAUUCCAUUAACAUGUUGCAUAUUCCAUGUAAUUAAAAAUGGUGGUAUUUUACGUUGAUCUAUUGUAUGCUUUGGGUCAUUAGACCUGAUUGUAAAGGAAAGUUUGACUGGGAUAAUAUACAAGUACUGAAACCCUUUUCUAUUUUGAAUCAAAUUUAGAGAGAGAGAGAGACAGACAGACAGAGAGCGACAGAGAGAGAUUUUCGACUAAAGUCAAAUAUGUAUUAUAUAUGUGUGUGUGUGUGUGU
Non-coding RNA from Pelodiscus sinensis (Chinese soft-shelled turtle), 722 nucleotides. The record is from RefSeq and is a predicted model, not a curated record. Lineage: Eukaryota; Metazoa; Chordata; Testudines; Trionychidae.